AAAAGGUGGCUAUGCUACCGCUUUUGGAUGGGCCCGCGGCGCAUUAGCUAGUUGGUGGGGUAAAGGCUUACCAAGGCAAUGAUGCGUAGCCGAACUGAGAGGUUGAUCGGCCACAUUGGGACUGAGACACGGCCCAAACUCCUACGGGAGGCAGCAGUAGGGAAUCUUCCACAAUGGGCGAAAGCCUGAUGGAGCAACGCCGCGUGGGUGAAGAAGGUCUUCGGAUCGUAAAACCCUGUUGUUAGAGAAGAAAGUGCGUGAGAGUAACUGUUCACGUUUCGACGGUAUCUAACCAGAAAGCCACGGCUAACUACGCGCCAGCAGCCGCGGUAAUACGUAGGUGGCAAGCGUUAUCCGGAUUUAUUGGGCGUAAAGGGAACGCAGGCGGUCUUUUAAGUCUGAUGUGAAAGCCUUCGGCUUAACCGGAGUAGUGCAUUGGAAACUGGGAGACUUGAGUGCAGAAGAGGAGAGUGGAACUCCAUGUGUAGCGGUGAAAUGCGUAGAUAUAUGGAAGAACACCAGUGGCGAAAGCGGCUCUCUGGUCUGUAACUGACGCUGAGGUUCGAAAGCGUGGGUAGCAAACAGGAUUAGAUACCCUGGUAGUCCACGCCGUAAACGAUGAAUGCUAAGUGUUGGAGGGUUUCCGCCCUUCA
RNAcentral lists this ribosomal RNA (653 nucleotides) under uncultured bacterium. Its description in RNAcentral is "bacterial SSU rRNA". It matches the Rfam family "Bacterial small subunit ribosomal RNA", at positions 202 to 842 of the family's 1533-position model. The record is from RNAcentral.